This 254-nucleotide ribosomal RNA is filed under the name uncultured bacterium. RNAcentral's name for it is "partial 16S ribosomal RNA". It matches the Rfam family "Bacterial small subunit ribosomal RNA", at positions 524 to 776 of the family's 1533-position model. The record is from RNAcentral.
UACGUAGGUGGCAAGCGUUGUCCGGAUUUACUGGGCGUAAAGGGCGCGUAGGCGGCCAGCACAAGUCAGUUGUGAAAUCUCCGAGCUUAACUCGGAAAGGUCAACUGAUACUGUGCGGCUAGAGUGCGGAAGGGGCAACUGGAAUUCUUGGUGUAGCGGUGAAAUGCGUAGAUAUCAGGAAGAACACCGGUGGCGAAAGCGCUCUGCUAGGCCGCAACUGACACUGAGGGACGAAAGCUAGGGGAGCGAAUGGG